Molecule: ribosomal RNA, 489 nt
Filed under: uncultured bacterium
Lineage: Bacteria
Description: bacterial SSU rRNA
Rfam family: Bacterial small subunit ribosomal RNA
Source: RNAcentral
AUUGAACGCUGGCGGCAUGCUUUACACAUGCAAGUCGAACGGCAGCACGGGCUUCGGGCCUGGGUGGCGAGUGGCGAACGGGUGAGUAAUGCAUCGGAACGUGCCCAUUUGUGGGGGGAUAACUACGCGAAAGCGUGGCUAAUACCGCAUACGCCCUGAGGGGGAAAGCGGGGGAUUCUUCGGAACCUCGCGCAAUUGGAGCGGCCGAUGUCAGAUUAGCUUGUUGGUGAGGUAAAGGCUCACCAAGGCGACGAUCUGUAGCGGGUCUGAGAGGAUGAUCCGCCACACUGGAACUGAGACACGGUCCAGACUCCUACGGGAGGCAGCAGUGGGGAAUUUUGGACAAUGGGGGCAACCCUGAUCCAGCCAUGCCGCGUGAGUGAAGAAGGCCUUCGGGUUGUAAAGCUCUUUCGGCCGGGAAGAAAUCGUAUGGGUUAAUACCCUGUGCGGAUGACGGUACCGGCAUAAGAAGCACCGGCUAACUACGUG